Molecule: small RNA, 27 nt
Filed under: Bombyx mori (domestic silkworm)
Lineage: Eukaryota; Metazoa; Arthropoda; Insecta; Lepidoptera; Bombycidae
Description: ovarian small RNA-16916
Source: RNAcentral
GCGGAAACACAGGUUGCUGCGGUCCAC